RNAcentral lists this unclassified non-coding RNA (244 nucleotides) under Glomus sp. RNAcentral describes it as "partial contains 5.8S ribosomal RNA and internal transcribed spacer 2". The stretch from base 1 to 71 matches the Rfam family "5.8S ribosomal RNA", at positions 84 to 154 of the family's 154-position model. The record is from RNAcentral. Lineage: Eukaryota; Fungi; Glomeromycota; Glomeromycetes; Glomerales; Glomeraceae.
GUGAAUCAUCGAAUCUUUGAACGCAAAUUGCACUCUCUUGUAUGCCGGAGAGUAUGCCUGGUUGAGGGUCAGUUUAAAUAAAAAUCGGUGUGGUCGCUGCCUGUCGUGGUGACGCGCCGGAUUUUGGUCGUCUUGCCUUCGUUUUAGUGACCUUAAAUUUUUCAUUAUGGUUUCGAACGUAUUUAAAUGAUUUUACGUACUUUUGCGAUAUCGUAUAGUAGGUUCUGUCAUCUUCAUGAUUCUC